CGCGUAGGCGGGCUGUCAAGUUUGGGGUGAAAUCCCGCGGCUCAACCGUGGAACUGCCUCAAAUACUGACGGCCUCGAGGAAGGUAGGGGCAUGCGGAACUGUAGGUGGAGCGGUGAAAUGCGUUGAUAUCUACAGGAACUCCGGUGGCGAAAGCGGCGUGCUGGACCUUUUCUGACGCUGAGGCGCGAAAGCUAGGGGAGCAAACG
Molecule: ribosomal RNA, 207 nt
Filed under: uncultured bacterium
Lineage: Bacteria
Description: partial 16S ribosomal RNA
Rfam family: Bacterial small subunit ribosomal RNA
Source: RNAcentral